GAUUAGACCCCCGUGACCUCCGACUCCCAAGCCCAGGCUCUUUCCACUGAGCCACGCUGCUUCUGGCGCUCAAAGGUGAAGAUGGUUCAUCGCACUCAAAGGAGAUGGGAGAGCAUCCCCCUGCAGGGAACUCUCCUGGAGUACCAAGUGUGGCCCACUCUCUGCCUGUUCCGAAAAAUUUGCUGUCCAGCUGGGCCCCAGGAUGCCAAGGAUGCCAAGGAGAGGAAAGGGGCUGAGGGGCCUGGCACACGUCCGGACUAGAGUCCCUGGUCACUCCUGCCCGCUUGGGCCCUGGCCGAUCACCCGUGCCCACGGUUCCAGCUCUCCGCGGAGUCCCACCAGUCUACUGCACCGAUCAGGUCAGCUGGAAAUUCGUCCCCGGCCCCCUCCCAAGAGGGCCCCAGGUCCCAAGCCUUGGCACAUAGUAAGCAUUAACA
Long non-coding RNA from Tachyglossus aculeatus (Australian echidna), 437 nucleotides. RefSeq lists it as uncharacterized. NCBI's taxonomy places the organism in Eukaryota, Metazoa, Chordata, Mammalia, Monotremata, Tachyglossidae. The transcript is spliced from 3 exons. The record is from RefSeq and is a predicted model, not a curated record.